UACGUAGGUCCCGAGCGUUGUCCGGAUUCACUGGGCGUAAAGCGCGCGCAGGCGGCCUCGCAAGUCGGAUGUGAAAGCCUCGGGCUCAACUCGGGGAGGCCAUCCGAAACUGCGGGGCUUGAGGGUGGAAGAGGAGAGUGGAAUUCCCGGUGUAGCGGUAAAAUGCGUAGAUACCGGGAGGAACACCAGUGGCGAAAGCGGCUCUCUGGUCCGCCCUUGACGCUCAGGCGCGAAAGCUAGGGGAGCGACCGGG
Molecule: ribosomal RNA, 253 nt
Filed under: uncultured bacterium
Lineage: Bacteria
Description: partial 16S ribosomal RNA
Rfam family: Bacterial small subunit ribosomal RNA
Source: RNAcentral